CUUCACUACUCCUAGAAGUUCUCUGCUCUCCACAUAUUUUAGCAUGGGCAGGCCAUCCCCCUCUAUGCCCUUGGGAACCUUUGAUGUUAGGAAACAUGUAUAUAGCUGAGCUCAUUUGGAAAAGCCAUAAGUCAUGAGAGAACUGAAGGUCUCCACAGGUGAGGUGACUGCUCAUCUUUAUCCCCACAGAACCUCUGGUGAGCUUUGAAUAGGUGGUGAAGGGGACUUGUGUAGUCAACAGCACAAGCA
This 249-nucleotide long non-coding RNA is filed under the name Felis catus (domestic cat). RNAcentral describes it as "lncRNA (ENSFCAG00000050841.1)". The record is from RNAcentral. Lineage: Eukaryota; Metazoa; Chordata; Mammalia; Carnivora; Felidae.